ACAUGCUUGUCUCAGACUAGCCAUGCACGUCUAAGUACAAACUAAAUGAUGGUGAAACUGCAAAUGGCUCAUUACAACGGUUAUGAUGUACCCGGGAGUUCCGAUGGAUAUUUCCAGUAACACUAGAACUAAUACAUGUCCCUGCGUUUAUUAGUUUCGCACAGUCCGUCGCUGAGUCAUGGUAAACAGUUGAUCGACUCGACGUCCCGGAACAGUUUCCGCCCCAUCAGCUUCGAUGGUUGGGUAUUGGCCUACCAUUGCAACAACGGGUAACGAGGAAUUAGGGUUUGAUUUCGGAGAGGGAGCCUGAGAAACGGCUACCACAUCUACGGAUGGCAGCAGGCGCGCAAAUUACCCAAUGCAGACACCGUGAGGUAGUGACGAGAAAUAAUAAAGCGGGACUUCUGUUUCGCUAUUAUAAUGAGGAAUAACCAAAGGUCAUUCCGAUUAGCAACUGAUGGGAAAGUCUGGUGCCAGCAGCCGCGGUAAUACCAGCGUCA
RNAcentral lists this ribosomal RNA (500 nucleotides) under uncultured Myrionecta. RNAcentral describes it as "SSU rRNA". It matches the Rfam family "Eukaryotic small subunit ribosomal RNA", at positions 28 to 593 of the family's 1831-position model. The record is from RNAcentral. Lineage: Eukaryota; Ciliophora; Litostomatea; Cyclotrichida; Mesodiniidae.